UAGAAACACUCGAUGACUACAGAUAAC
Molecule: small RNA, 27 nt
Filed under: Bombyx mori (domestic silkworm)
Lineage: Eukaryota; Metazoa; Arthropoda; Insecta; Lepidoptera; Bombycidae
Description: ovarian small RNA-21744
Source: RNAcentral